This 240-nucleotide ribosomal RNA is filed under the name uncultured bacterium. RNAcentral describes it as "partial 16S ribosomal RNA". It matches the Rfam family "Bacterial small subunit ribosomal RNA", at positions 537 to 776 of the family's 1533-position model. The record is from RNAcentral.
AGCGUUGCUCGGAAUUACUGGGCGUAAAGGGCGCGUAGGCGGACAGUUUAGUCGGAGGUGAAAGCCCAGGGCUCAACCUUGGAAUAGCCUUUGAUACUGACUGUCUUGAGUUCGGGAGAGGUGAGUGGAAUGCCGAGUGUAGAGGUGAAAUUCGUAGAUAUUCGGCGGAACACCAGUGGCGAAGGCGACUCACUGGCCCGAUACUGACGCUGAGGCGCGAAAGCGUGGGGAGCAAACAGG